This 493-nucleotide ribosomal RNA is filed under the name uncultured bacterium. RNAcentral describes it as "partial 16S ribosomal RNA". It matches the Rfam family "Bacterial small subunit ribosomal RNA", at positions 30 to 523 of the family's 1533-position model. The record is from RNAcentral.
AUUGAACGCUGGCGGCAUGCUUUACACAUGCAAGUCGUACGGUAACAGGUUAAGCUGACGAGUGGCGAACGGGUGAGUAAUGCAUCGGAACGUGCUCGGUCGUGGGGGAUAACGCAGCGAAAGCUGCGCUAAUACCGCAUACGAUCUGAGGAUGAAAGCGGGGGACGGUAAGGCCUCGCGCGAUCGGAGCGGCCGAUGUCAGAUUAGGUAGUUGGUGGGGUAAAGGCCCACCAAGCCGACGAUCUGUAGCUGGUCUGAGAGGAAGACCAGACACACUGGGACUGAGACACGGCCCAGACUCCUACGGGAGUCAGCAGUGGGGAAUUUUGGGCAAUGGGCGAAAGCCUGAUCCAGCAAUGCCGCGUGCAGGAAGAAGGCCUUCGGGUUGUAAACUGCUUUUGUACGGAGCGAAAAGGUCCUUUCUAAUACAAGGGGCUCAUGACGGUACCGUAAGAAUAAGCACCGGCUAACUACGUGCCAGCCGCCGCAGUAA